Molecule: ribosomal RNA, 451 nt
Filed under: uncultured bacterium
Lineage: Bacteria
Description: partial 16S ribosomal RNA
Rfam family: Bacterial small subunit ribosomal RNA
Source: RNAcentral
GAUGAACGCUGGCGGCGUGCCUAAUACAUGCAAGUCGAACGAGGUCUUCGGACCUAGUGGCGAACGGGUGAGUAACACGUUGGUACCUACCCCGAAGUGGGGAAUAACUGCCCGAAAGGGUGGCUAAUACCGCAUAAUACCGCAGGGUUAAAGCAGUAAUGCGCUUCGGGAGGGGCCUGCGUCCCAUUAGCUAGUUGGUAGGGUAAUGGCCUACCAAGGCGACGAUGGGUAGCUGGAUCGAGAGGUUGACCAGCCACACUGGGACUGAGAUACGGCCCAGACUCCUACGGGAGGCAGCAGUAAGGAAUCUUCCACAAUGGACGAAAGUCUGAUGGAGCAACGCCGCGUGCAGGAUGACGGCCUUCGGGUUGUAAACUGCUUUUAUACGGGAAGAUUAUGACGGUACCGUAUGAAGAAGGACCGGCUAACUACGUGCCAGCCGCCGCGGUAA